RNAcentral lists this long non-coding RNA (608 nucleotides) under Astyanax mexicanus (Mexican tetra). RNAcentral describes it as "lncRNA (ENSAMXG00005009328.1)". Lineage: Eukaryota; Metazoa; Chordata; Actinopteri; Characiformes; Acestrorhamphidae. The record is from RNAcentral.
UGAUCACAGGAAUCUCCAAAAAGCAUUUCUUUAGUUCUGCUGGAGUCUGAAGGGUUAAAUAGAAAGGGGUGAAACUGAAAGCUGUUGUAACGGACCGCUUUUAAAAAGGAGAGCAGAGAGGAUUUCAAAGCUCAGCGCUUUAUACUUCAAGUUUUGACUGAUCAGGAUGGACCCUCAAAACGUCAGCAGUGAAGGACUGCCUGACUCAGGACUGCAGACAUUCAAAGAAGAACAUCCAGAGCCCAGCUGUGUGUCUAUGAAGAGCAGCCGCUCGAUGUUUCAGCCUCCUGUAUUCAGUAAUGAAAGAAGCAGUGCUGACUUUAGACUGCAGACAUUCAGAGCAGAACCUCCAGAGCCCAGCUGUGUGUCUAUAAAGAGCAGCCAGUCGAUGUUUCAGCCUCCUGUAUUUAGUAAUGAAAGAAUCAGUGCCGACUUCAGGUGAGACUUUAAUACAAUGUGAACACAACAGGCCUUUAUAGCACAGACUGUGUAGAUAAACUAAACCAGAGAGUAAAGCUCUUCAGUUGUUGUUCCUGCUGUUAUUAACCCACUGCUUACCGACUGAGAGGUGACAGAAAGUUCAGUUAUGGUCAGAGCGCUGUAGCCAG